Molecule: ribosomal RNA, 468 nt
Filed under: uncultured bacterium
Lineage: Bacteria
Description: partial 16S ribosomal RNA
Rfam family: Bacterial small subunit ribosomal RNA
Source: RNAcentral
GACGAACGCUGGCGGCGUGCUUAACACAUGCAAGUCGAACGGAAAGGCCCUGCUUUUGUGGGGUGCUCGAGUGGCGAACGGGUGAGUAACACGUGAGUAACCUGCCCUUGACUUUGGGAUAACUUCAGGCAACUGGGGCUAAUACCGGAUAGGAGCUCCUGCUGCAUGGUGGGGGUUGGAAAGUUUCGGCGGUUGGGGAUGGACUCGCGGCUUAUCAGCUUGUUGGUGGGGUAGUGGCUUACCAAGGCUUUGACGGGUAGCCGGCCUGAGAGGGUGACCGGACACAUUGGGACUGAGAUGCGGCCCAGACUCGUACGGGAGGCAACAGUGGGGAAUAGUGCACAAUGGGCGGAAGCCUAAUGCAGCAACGCCGCGUGCGGGAUGACGGCCUUCGGGUUGUAAACCGCUUUCGCCUGUGACGAAGCGUGAGUGACAGUAAUGGGUAAAGAAGCACCGGCUAACUACGUG